ACCCUACUAUACCCAACCGCAAUACACAAUUAAAAUACCAAUUGUUCGCCAAACAACUACGAGUAGUAACUUAAAACUUAAAAGACUUGACGGUGCUUCACCACGGCCUAGAGGAGCCUGUCUAAUAACCGAUAACCCACGAUUAACCCAACCCUCUCUUGCCAACAGUCUAUAUACCGCCGUCGUAAGCUUACCUUGUAAAAGAAUUAAAGUGAGCCCAAUAGCACCCCAMUAAGACGACAGGCCGAGGUGUAACCUAUGAGCGGGACCCAGAUGGGCUACAUUCUCUAUUUAGAGAUGCGAAUAACACUUUGAACUAAGUGAUUGAAGAAGGAUUUAGAAGUAAGCCAGGAAUAAAAUACCUAACUGAACAUAACGCAAUGAAGUGCGUACACACCGCCCGUCACCCCUGUCAACACCAUACAAAUCUCCAUAAACCAACUACCAAUAACAACCA
RNAcentral lists this ribosomal RNA (457 nucleotides) under Bitis gabonica (Gaboon viper). Its description in RNAcentral is "partial 12S ribosomal RNA". Lineage: Eukaryota; Metazoa; Chordata; Lepidosauria; Squamata; Viperidae. The record is from RNAcentral.